Maylandia zebra (zebra mbuna) is the source of this 960-nucleotide non-coding RNA. The record is from RefSeq and is a predicted model, not a curated record. NCBI's taxonomy places the organism in Eukaryota, Metazoa, Chordata, Actinopteri, Cichliformes, Cichlidae.
UUUUUUUGUCUGUUUUUUUUUAUUUGUGUGUUUGUUUGUUGCCGUUUUUGUACAGUGGGAAUUUAAAAUCACUCCAUACAUCAGUUACAUCUAACUAUAAAACCUGUGCUGAUCUAUUGUAUGUCUAACGUCUCACUGUAGCGGAUGCAGUGUUAUUCAUCAUUUGGUCGAACUCGCAGCGCGCACACACUGUAAGGUUCACGGAGACGUGGGCUGGAAAGCUGCAUCAGCUGUCUCAGCGGGGUUUAGCUCUGAAGCUGCACACACUGUUUAUCUCGCCUUAGAUCACACGCUAGUGGCAGGGCGUGGAGCUGUUUGUUUACUGAGGAUUCCAACCACAAAAACAUAUUGCAGUCUAUGCUGUUAACCUCAACCAUCUCUGCUCGCCUGCUCAUCGUCACUACCCCGGCAUAUCCUCCUACACACCGCAGCACUGCCCUGAUCUCUCUCCCCUGUUUGAGUAGCCUAGAGGAACAGUUUUACAACCAGGAAACUCAAAAGCUGUCGAAAUGCCUCUGAGACUCUGCACGUUGAUGCAUUCAGGGACAUCAAGGGAAAAGCGCUUAUUCUAACCCAGGAUACACGAAGACGUCAGAGGACGCUUGCUUUCUAAGUGCUCACGUUUAAAAGGCUUCAUUUAACAACAAGCUGUUCCACAUGUGUGCGGGUAGAGAAAGAAAAGGGACUGAAAAGUUGUCGACUCGAAGAAUGACACGAACUCACCUGAUCACCGUCUUUGGCUUCCUGAGAACUGCUUCAGAGAAACCACAGGGCCUCUAAACUGCGCUGCCGAGAGGAAGGAGGAGGGUUCAAGUGCUUCUGUGAAACAAGAAGAUCUCAGAUCUGUGUGGCACGAUGGGACAAACACGUCUUCUGUGGCCGCUCUGCCUGAUGUCGCUGCUCUGCUGCACAACUAACCAAGUUCAUUUAAGUGUGAGUCCCAGCAGCUCUCAGUUCUUU